This 461-nucleotide long non-coding RNA is filed under the name Androctonus crassicauda. Lineage: Eukaryota; Metazoa; Arthropoda; Arachnida; Scorpiones; Buthidae. The record is from RNAcentral.
ACAAAAAUAAAUUAAAAUAAAAUAAAUAAUUGUAAAGUCUAAUUAAAUACAGAAUAUAUUUGUUAUAUAAAAAGCAUAACAGUGCAACGCAUACAUAAAAUUGCACAAAUAUUAUUUCAUAGGAGUUAGGCUACAGCACUCAGGAGUUUCAUCAUAUUCAAAAUAAAAGGGUUUUUAAAGAAAUUUCCUGGCUCAUUACAUAACAUCAUUAGCUUAUUAUUUUUAGGAUGUAUUCCCAUGCCGGUUGCAGGUCAACUGCUGGCUUAUCAUUUAUGAGGUUUUCCAUCUCCCACCUUCUAGUUAUUUCUAUUGUUUCGGUUAGCAAGGCUUGCAAUUCUCUUAGGAUGGGCUUUACAAUUUUAGCAUUAUUUCAAUCAACCCAUAGAUCCACAUUAUACGCCUACAUUGCUAACACAGUGGUAAGAUUCACCUUUUCUAUGUUCUUCUUAUGCUUCUUAAGC